RNAcentral lists this ribosomal RNA (253 nucleotides) under uncultured bacterium. Its description in RNAcentral is "partial 16S ribosomal RNA". It matches the Rfam family "Bacterial small subunit ribosomal RNA", at positions 524 to 776 of the family's 1533-position model. The record is from RNAcentral.
UACGGGGGGGGCAAGCGUUGUUCGGAAUUACUGGGCGUAAAGGGCUCGUAGGCGGCCAACUAAGUCGGACGUGAAAUCCCCAGGCUCAACCUGGGAACUGCGUCCGAUACUGGAUGGCUUGAAUCCGGGAGAGGGAUGCAGAAUUCCAGGUGUAGCGGUGAAAUGCGUAGAUAUCUGGAGGAACACCGGUGGCGAAGGCGGCAUCCUGGACCGGUAUUGACGCUGAGGCGCGAAAGCCAGGGGAGCAAACGGG